UUGGAGUCUGCACCAACAUUCAUAAAAUACUUCUGAGAAAAAGAAUCCCUUUUUCAGCCAGAAAACUAUGGAUCUCUUUUUCUUAGGAUCUCUGCUGAUUUUGUUUCCCCAUUUUUGCAGAUCUUUUCUUCUUUUUUUCCAAUUUUUUGCACUCUGUUUCCUUUUUUUUUUUCGUCGUUAGUUCCUCGAUUUUGUUUUGGACGAAGAAUUAUGCGAGAUCUCAUCCCAGGCUCCAACUCCUCUUCUCCAAGUUUGAAAGUAAGGCUACCUUCCAUUUCAUAAGAUUUUCUCACCAGAUUUCCAACUAGACUCUCUGUAUUCAUUUAUUUCUUGUAGUCUUUUGGUUUAAGUUUCUUCAAAUUUUUUUCGAAUUAGAAUCUUACUGCAAUUUUUUGUUUUAUAUGUUUGGCAUGGUUUGCUUCACUUUUGGGGUUUUGGUUUUGUUUCAAUUUUUAUUUGGAAUGUCUUGAUUUGUGAGAUGGAAGGAGUUUAAUUUAGAUUUGUUUUUCAUAGCAUAACCUGCAGAUUGAAAAAUGAUCUGGCACUAUUGGGGUUUUAUUUUUCUUGCAUUUCCUUAUUGCAACUGAUACAUGAUUUUAUUUCUCAGUUUCCAAGGUGAUGAGUGAGUUAAUUUGGUUUGGGUAUGUUGUUAAUGGAACGAUUUGGUUAAUUCUAUAUGUCCUAACAGAUUUUUUUUUUUCUUUCAUAUGAUUUGAGUAAUUGCUCUGUUUAUUCAAACACAAACAAUUUGGGUAGCAAGAGCAACCCUUUCUCUGUUCUGUUGCUAUUUUGUUGUACCUUACAAACAAUUCGAGCAUAUUACUGCUUAAUUGAGCUUGUUUCUCUAAUGUUUUUAGGGUGCAAACUGUUGGAUAUCCCUCGUUAGUGGAGUGAAAAGGUGUAGCCGGUGUUGAUUGGUAGCAAUAAUUCUUCUCUAGUUGCUGUUGUGAUUGACAAUAUCAAUUAGCUUUAUGGAUGGCUUGUGCUUUUAGCUGCCUUGUGUUUUCGAUGUGCACUGUGUGCAUGUUGUGUGCUUGUGUCGCACCAAAGAGAGAGAGAGAGAGCACGGCAGAGAGAAGAGAAAUGUGAGGGAGUGGACUGCUUGUGAGACGCAAGCAAGCAGUCCCACGAACUUGAGGAGGAUGUUUCAGCUGGAAGUUAGCUGGGUUCAUCAAAGGUUCAAGGGAGGGUAUAUCUCUUGGGUGAGAGUGUUUUUCACGUGUAUGAGAUUAGAAGACGAACUUAAUUGGGACUUCUUGUCAUCUGUUUGUACCUUGUACUGACGAAAAUU
Molecule: long non-coding RNA, 1291 nt
Filed under: Prunus dulcis (almond)
Lineage: Eukaryota; Viridiplantae; Streptophyta; Magnoliopsida; Rosales; Rosaceae
Description: sRNA ncRNA
Source: RNAcentral